UCUUUUACGCAGGGCGCCAUUGCGGAAGGGACCCAUUUUUAGCAAAGGAACGGAAGGGGUGCUUCGGUUGGACGGAAGGAGGUACUUAGACCGGAAGGAGGCGAGCAGGAGGGGGUAGAGGAAGGAGGUACUUAGACCGGUGUGCGACGGGAACGGAGAAGGGAAGGCCAGGAAAGUAGUUGCUGGUGGACAUCCAUUUCCUCUACUGCAGGACCUAAGGCGGAGUAGGAGAAAGGUUAGGCUGCGGAGGUGUGUGGGCGAGGGAGCGGUAGCCGCCGCGGCGGCGUACGGCCAGGAGGCACGCAGCGGAGGAGAAGGAGGUGCUGGGGAGGUGCAUGAGCGUCUGCUGCCGUCGGCCUUGGCGGGGGCAGCGGGAGCAGUGGAGGUGAACAAGGUGCUAGACCGGUUCGGUGGCUCUCUUUCGACAAGCGCCACAACAUCGCGACGACCCCUCGACGCGCAAUACUACUUGUAGACGGAGGAGGAGGCACAGUACGGGACCAUGGAUAGAAACCAAAACUAACUACGGAGUGUAAAGACAAUCUCGCAACCAUUCAUCGUCUAAAGAACCCUCAAGUCCAUCGACGAAACAGAGGUUGUGGGUUGGGGUAAAUAAAAUAAAUCCAGAACUACGAUACCUGUAACAAACCACAGCGAACCUAAGUCUGGACGACAUAACCCGUGUUUUUUAUAUUCUAGUGUGUACCUGUGUAACGUUCACACCUAUCUUUAUAUAACCACCACGUAACAGUGUACAUACGAUGUAGACAUUAGUCUCUAAGUCCAGUAUGGUCAAAAAACCAGAGAAGUAAACACUAUGAAAAAAGGAAAUCCUUCAGUAACGGAAAAACGGUUCUUAAGUAGUGACUUUCUCGACUUCAACUCUAGAGGCAAAUUUCGUCACUAAUUAAUGACUGGCAUUUUAUUAAACAGUAGCACUCUAAGAAGUUGACAGCCAAGCGGUAGUUAAAAUCCUAAAUUGGUUGAUUUUACUUUGGUUCUAUGUCAACGACGACGUGAAUACUCGUUUAACAUGUCCCAUUUCUGUACGUCGACGAGUUCUUGUCCCCUUCCUGGUUAGACGACAAAGCCAACAAAUACACGCGACUUCUAACAAGUAUGGGCAUAGGGCUUCUAUCUUCCGUUUUAUUAGGUUAAGUAGUGUAAACUUAAAGGAUUAGGUUGAAGUCAUCAAUUUGUGAAAUUCAACAAGAGGGAUUUCAAUGUAAGAACGGUCAAUUAGAGUACCGGAUUGGAAACACUAGUUUAACAGAGGUCUCAAUUCAUGGGUCUAGCACAUUGAAAUUAUGCUCCUUUAGUACUCGUCCGUCUAAUGUGUUCAAAUACUGAAGAUACUACUCACAGAAGUACUUAUGCCGAGCCACUUACAGACCUCUACAACGUGUCUUUAUAAGCUGAUAAAUUCAAACAGACGUGAAUGACUCUUGUUUUAGAAGUUACAGGUGCCUCCGGAAAGGGGACGAUAAUGCCGUCACUUAGUCCGAAAUAAAGUGAACCUCUUUUCAUUAGUCCUCGAGUUCCCACUGGAGUUCAUGUACAUGCAGAUGUGACGUUACAUUCAUCUAUUAGGUCUACCUACAGCAACCCUUGUCCUUCCGUCAACACUAGAUACACGGUAUGACAGACGCGUUCCGGAAGUCCUUCUAAGUGCUACCUAAUCAAACGAGAAAAGUAAUAGGUCAGAAGGACAAAAUCUCGUUUAUUUAGUCUAAAUAACCAUCUAAUUAAAAAUCCGCAGACGUAACAACACUACGAGUACCAACGACUAAAGUCAGACAUAAUUGGUCAAGAACACAACUGACCUCCUUUCCAACCGGCAUAGUCAGUAGGUAGAACAUUCUAACAGUGGAGAGACAAUUAUAUAUGAGGGAGCCAGGUUUUUAUUCACAGAGUUGAAAUAUGAUCAAAAUCAUGUUUCAACAUGAUUCGAACCCUGUGAAUAAAACCCUGCCUCUCUCAUGGAUAAUCGAACGAGACGAAAUACUCAUUUGUGAAAAAGUUGUUAGCAGCGUACUCAACUGGUCGUAAAGGUAAGGUACAUGUACAAGACAGCGUACUCAACUGGUCGUAAAGGUAAGGUACAUGUACAAGACGGUCGAACGAGACGAACGAUACGAAAUACUGACUUCUGAGAUGACGACGUCAAAAUAAUUUACAUAAAAAAAUCGUUAACCGCGAGUGCACCUGACGUGUGUUUGCAGUUGUUGAUUUUGUCGAUCUAAUCACGCGUUUACGUGCGGAGUUCUCCGCGCGGGGUCGGUGAUCUUAAGUACAUUGAGUCUUCAAAAGUG
This 2312-nucleotide ribosomal RNA is filed under the name Triticum aestivum (bread wheat). RNAcentral describes it as "partial small subunit ribosomal RNA". Lineage: Eukaryota; Viridiplantae; Streptophyta; Magnoliopsida; Poales; Poaceae. The record is from RNAcentral.